RNAcentral lists this ribosomal RNA (38 nucleotides) under Pisolithus albus. RNAcentral describes it as "partial 28S ribosomal RNA". The record is from RNAcentral. Lineage: Eukaryota; Fungi; Basidiomycota; Agaricomycetes; Boletales; Pisolithaceae.
GAAGGCUUGACCUCAAAUCACGUAGGACUACCCGCUGA